UUAAAAAAAUAAUUUGAAUAUUUAUUAACUUAUUUUAUAUUACAUUGCUUUUCUUUAAACUUUCACGAUUCCGCUAGAACUCUUUCUUUGUGCAUAAAUGCAUUUUAACCUAAAUCGUGAAAAUCCAUGUUAAUUUAUUAGAGUUAUCUGUAAGUAUUCGCUCUGAGUUUUUGUUCUGGUUGUUUCUUACAGAGCCUCCACUCAGGAGCAUCAGCCCUGAACAAGCAGCAUCUGCGGUGUACAGUAGUUCAUCAGUAACUGCAGGCGUAAGUGCAGCCGGAGUGGUCCUCGCUUUACUGCUCAUCAUAUGCGCUCUUAUUGGUGUCAUUUAUAGGAAACAUAGGAAGGCAAUGAGUGCAUCAGGAGAUACACACUGAAGCCAGCAGGUGGCAUAGAUCCAUAAGUGAUCAUGGAAGUUCCUUAUAGUUACUGCUUUACUGCAAGCUCAUGCAGUGCAGGACUAAGCUGAAUGAAAUAACAAGAAGGGUUGACUGUAAGGAAUCAAUGGUCAUUUCUCUCACUGAGGAGUGUAACCACUGGUGCUGUUUUACCAAGAGAUCACAGGUGAUUCUGACACACCAGCUGUUAAUUAUAACAAUGCUUAUCUUUCCUUGAACUCCACAAGACAUUAGGAUGUCAUGUUUGGCAUUUUAUGAUUUUUUGGGGGGCAUGAUAAUUAGGGCUCUGAAGAUUGUCCACCAGAUGGUGCCAAAGUUUAGAAAUAUUCUUUAAUAUAAUAAUUAAGCAUUAGUAUGAAUGGACAAAUAACUAUUGCUUUUAACUGUAGCACCAAUGCACACUAAAAUACCUCCUUUUUUAAAUAAUUUGUUUGCAAAGAAAAAGCACACAUUUCAUUUUGGCAUAUAAAGGCAUAUGAAUUGGUAGCUGGAUUAUUUAUUAUUGUUUAAGUAUUCAUACAGAUAAUAUAGCUCUUAUUGUAGCUGAUAUCUGAGUAGUGAAGUAAGAGUCCAUUUCAUACACAUUAUUUAUUGCUGUCUUACUAUUUAAAGUUAUUUUUAUUUAUUUUUCUGUCCUCGUGUCAGAUGUGUAUGUAUGUAUGUACAGGAGCACCUUAAAAAAGGCACAACAAAUUCAUUGUGUGUUUGCGCACACCUGGUGAAUAAAGCUAAUUCUGAUUCUGAUUCUGAUUUGACUUUGGGAUCAUGUGUGUCAUUUUCUGAUUUGUUUCUUCAAACUCAAACUUAGCAGUGAAGAUUCAAGAUUGUUUCUGAAAGUAUUUUUUAAUGAUUGAUUUAUGCUGUUGGUAUUGGACCAAGAUGGUUUUUGCAUUUGAGAGUUUAUUUGUUGUUCCUGUGUGAAUUGUGAGCAAGAUUUUUGUAUUGUCUGUGGAUUCUGUUGAUUGUUUGUAUUUAUUAUUUUAUUUAAAAUAUAUUCCAGUGUUACUGAUGACUGUGCAUUUUGUUAAACUUCUCUGAAUAAAGAGAUUUACAACAGUG
This is a long non-coding RNA of Carassius gibelio (silver crucian carp), 1457 nucleotides long. RefSeq lists it as uncharacterized. Lineage: Eukaryota; Metazoa; Chordata; Actinopteri; Cypriniformes; Cyprinidae. The transcript has 2 exons. The record is from RefSeq and is a predicted model, not a curated record.